UUUGCUAGAACACUGUGAUAGAUUAACUGCAGAAUUCUUCCUGUAGGAUUGGGGAUAUAACGGGCUUCACUAACCUUCCCUAGGCAGUGAAACAUCCCCCAAAUCUGAUGGAUCUAGAGUCAGGGAAGUCUGCUUUUGUACCUGCUGGGCCCCAAAGUUGGGCAUUUUUCUCUCUGUUCCCUCUCUUUUGAAAAUGUAAAAUAAAACCAAAAAUAGACAACUUUUCCUUCAGCCAUUCCAGCAUAGAGAACAAAACCUUAUGGAAACAGGAAUGUCAAUUGUGUAAUCAUUGUUCUAAUUAGGUAAAUAGAAGUCCCUAUGUAUGUGUUACAAGAAUUUCCCCCACAACAUCCUUUAUGACUUAAGUUCAAUGACAGUUUGCCUUUGGUAGUAAAGGAUUUUCUCCAUGGCCUGUAUUAAGACCAUUAGAAAGCACCAGGCCAUGGGAGCAGUGAUCAUCUGCUGACUGUUCUCGUGGAUCUUGUGUCCAGGGACAUGGGGCGAUGUGCCUCGUAUGUGUUAGAGGGUGGAAUGGAUGUGUUUGGCACUGCAUGGGAUCUGGUGCCCCUCUUCUCCUGGAUUUGCAUCCCCACCCAGGGCCCGCUUUUACUAAGUGUUCUGCCCUAGCUUGGUUCAAGGAGGUCAUCCAACUGACUUUAUCCAGUGGAAUUGGGAUAUAUUUGAUAUACUUUUGCCUAACAACAUGGAAAAGGGUUUUCCUUUCCCUGCAUCCUACUGCUUUGAACUUCCAAGUAUGUCUACUCACCUUUUAAAAUGUAAACAUUUUCAGAAAAAUGAGGAUUGCUUUCCUUGUAUGCACUUUUUAUCUUGACUACCUGAAUUGCAAGGAAUUUUUAUAUAUUCAUAUGUUCCAAAGUCAGCAACUCUCCUGUUGGUUCAUUAUUGAAUGUGCUGUAAAUUAAGUCUUUUGCAAUUAAAAUGAGGUUUGCCCACAUCCAAAAAAAAAAAAGAAA
Molecule: long non-coding RNA, 974 nt
Filed under: Homo sapiens (human)
Lineage: Eukaryota; Metazoa; Chordata; Mammalia; Primates; Hominidae
Description: non-protein coding lnc-C4orf3-2:1
Source: RNAcentral